This is a long non-coding RNA of Xiphophorus couchianus (Monterrey platyfish), 135 nucleotides long. RefSeq lists it as uncharacterized. The transcript is spliced from 3 exons. The record is from RefSeq and is a predicted model, not a curated record. NCBI's taxonomy places the organism in Eukaryota, Metazoa, Chordata, Actinopteri, Cyprinodontiformes, Poeciliidae.
CUGUGGUUGUGGUGGUUGGUGCAGCAGAUGUGGCUGUUGGUGCUGUAGAUGUUGUGGUUGGUGCAGUGGUUGUGGUUGAUGCUGUGGUUAUGGUUGUUGGUGCUGCGGUUUUGGAGGUUUGUUCUCCAGUUGUGG